GGCUGGUCCGAUGGCAGUGGGUUAUCAGAACUUAUUAACAUUAGUGUCACUAAAGUUGGUAUACCACCCCCCCCCUGCUAAAUUUGACUGGCUUUAA
Cavia aperea (Brazilian guinea pig) is the source of this 97-nucleotide unclassified non-coding RNA. It matches the Rfam family "Y RNA". From Rfam's summary of the family: Y RNAs are components of the Ro ribonucleoprotein particle (Ro RNP), in association with Ro60 and La proteins. The record is from Ensembl. NCBI's taxonomy places the organism in Eukaryota, Metazoa, Chordata, Mammalia, Rodentia, Caviidae.